GCAGCCGCGGUAAUACGUAGGUGGCAAGCGUUGUCCGGAUUUACUGGGUGUAAAGGGCGUGUAGCCGGGUCGGCAAGUCAGAUGUGAAAUCCACGGGCUUAACUCGUGAACUGCAUUUGAAACUGUUGAUCUUGAGUAUCGGAGAGGUAAUCGGAAUUCCUUGUGUAGCGGUGAAAUGCGUAGAUAUAAGGAAGAACACCAGUGGCGAAGGCGGAUUACUGGACGACAACUGACGGUGAGGCGCGAAAGCGUGGGGAGCAAACAGGAUUAGAUACCCC
Molecule: ribosomal RNA, 278 nt
Filed under: uncultured Oscillibacter sp.
Lineage: Bacteria; Bacillati; Bacillota; Clostridia; Eubacteriales; Oscillospiraceae
Description: partial 16S ribosomal RNA
Rfam family: Bacterial small subunit ribosomal RNA
Source: RNAcentral